GUAAUGGGGGAAAUUCAGAUAACUGGACACCUACUAGGUUCUGGUGCGUUUGUAAAGUUUCAAAGAAGCAGAAACAAUCGUCAUUUUCCUUUUCUGGAUAAUGAAGCUGGCUUUGAAAUACAUGAAUAUCAGAAGAGUAUCCUGAGGCAAAGCAGAUAUACCACUGUUUAAGGAAACGAUCCAAUUUGGGAGCAAGAACUGUGCUUUCCAUUGGCAUACAGGAAGGACAGAAGUUAAUCACCUACAGCAACUCUAAACUCCAGACCUGAGAUAGCACCAGAGAAGUCUACCCAAUAAAGGGGAAACACUGAAACCACCCCCCUUGGCCAGGAAAGAUAGUAGCCACUUGCACAAGGAUUCUUAACAACAGGAAGACCUGGGAAGGAAAGUGGAACUAACAAGCUACUACCGACUGGAAGAAUUCAGGAAUGGCCCAAAGGAGACACCACCUGUCCUACCUACCAACCUCCCAGAAUCCUCCUUGCUGGAAUCCAUCUGGCUGAGUGACGGGUGCACCGCUAGGCAGGACCCUGAGUCAGUGAUUGGCCAGAGACAACCUGGAAAGUAAUCCCAACACCAUAAAACCCAAGACCACGAGCCAGGGGGCAGAGCCAUCCUCCUGGGCUCUCCUUCCCAACAGAGUCUCCCGCUUUGUCAGCCCCUGUGUCUCCUAGAACAAUUCAUUUCCAG
This is a long non-coding RNA of Budorcas taxicolor (takin), 690 nucleotides long. RefSeq lists it as uncharacterized. The transcript has 3 exons. The record is from RefSeq and is a predicted model, not a curated record. Lineage: Eukaryota; Metazoa; Chordata; Mammalia; Artiodactyla; Bovidae.